GCCUGCCCUGUGACAAUGUUUAACGGCCGCGGUAUUUUGACCGUGCGAAGGUAGCGUAAUCACUUGUCUUUUAAAUGAAGACCUGUAUGAAAGGCAUCACGAGAGUUUAACUGUCUCUAUUUUCUAAUCAAUGAAAUUGAUCUUCUCGUGCAGAAGCGAGAAUAUUACCAUUAGACGAGAAGACCCUAUGGAGCUUCAAACACUUAAAUUAAUUAUGUAAAAUUAUAAUCCUUAGGGAAAAAUCAUCCAUAUAAUAUUCCUAAUUUAACUGUUUUUGGUUGGGGUGACCGAGGGGGAAAAGAAAUCCCCCUUAUCGACUGAGUACUAAGUACUUAAAAAUUAGAACGACAGUUCUGAUUAAUAAAACAUUUACCGAAAAAUGACCCAGAUUUUUCUGAUCAAUGAACCAAGUUACCCUAGGGAUAACAGCGCAAUCCUUUCCCAGAGUCCCUAUCGCCGAAAGGGUUUACGACCUCGAUGUUGGAUCAGGACAUCCUAAUGGUGCAACCGCUAUUAAGGGU
RNAcentral lists this ribosomal RNA (521 nucleotides) under Centrophorus squamosus (leafscale gulper shark). RNAcentral's name for it is "partial 16S ribosomal RNA". It matches the Rfam family "Bacterial large subunit ribosomal RNA", at positions 1857 to 2572 of the family's 2925-position model. The record is from RNAcentral. Lineage: Eukaryota; Metazoa; Chordata; Chondrichthyes; Squaliformes; Centrophoridae.